GGUGUUUGCAGCCAGCCUCUGCUGCUGCUGGGGCAUCUGGGGCAGGGAGGUGAUUGAUCAGUCGAGCUUAAGCAGCACUUAAUUUGCUGUUAUUGAUCUUCCACCACAGGCAACAGAUACCAUGAUCCAAACCAGGCUGUUGGGCCAAGAUAAAAGGUACCUGCUUCUAAUUCCUUUGCUGACAACAUGGCUGGGCUCAUUGUGGUGGAGAAACCAACCCUACACGACGUGGGAAGAAGGCAAAGGAGAAUCCCUUGGUUUUCAGGGAGUGGUUUCCACUGUGUUCCAUCCAGACGUGCAACCAUCCCCUACUACUCCCUGCUCUGAUCUCAUCCUGGAGCCGGCUACAGGGGGCUGCCUGUGACACCAAGCAGGGCUGAGAAGGUGUUUCUGCAUUCUGGGUGAUGUUUAGACAUUCACACUUGUAAGAAUAAUAUUAUUUCUCCAAAAAAUCUUUGAGUGUGUUGGAGAUUAGUUUGGGUUUUGUGAUAUGCUGAAAGUUGGAAAGCAAUAAAGACUUUUCAUUGUGUAAAGUCAACAGACUAAGAAAGUAGCCAUCCCAGACUCAUUUGAUGCUAGAUAGUUGGGGGCAGUCCCCUGGGAGGCAGACAUGAAUUAAAUUUUAAAGGUGCAUCCCAGAAGUACACCCCGUUUCUCAGUCUGAGAUGACCACACAACCACUGAAACUGGGUAAAUGGGCUGAGGACAGUAGUUGCUUCUCUGGCUCUGCAUGCUCUGUAAAUAUCAGCUGAAUCAAGUGCUGUAGGUGAGAAAAGUGAAGGAAAACCUUGUUUUGUGGAUAUGGAUGGGAUUUUGUGUGGGCUAAACACCAACUGUUCAGCAUCUUUUGUGGAUGGAUCUAGCCCAACUGAUCAGAAGUGGCAUGUGCUGAGUGAAAAAAUACAUGUCUGAGGGAGUUCCUGGCCAUCAUUUUAUGGAUGAAAGGGAGAAGAAAAAGACAUUCCUGUGAGAUUCAUUUUCUUAGCAGGAAAAAGUUACCAGUGUUCUUCCCAGAGCCGUUUCAGGAGCCGUAAUUAUGCUUUUGUGUAUCAAAGGAGAAGAAUGUUUACACCUGACCAAGCCUCUGGGUAGAUGAGAUGUUCUGUCUUGGGAAAUUGUCACCUUCAGGGUGGCUGCUCUCACACAGCUAAUGCAGAGCACAAUUUUUCCCUGCAGUGUAGUUGUAGCAACCUGCCAGUGUUCACC
Long non-coding RNA from Zonotrichia leucophrys gambelii, 1206 nucleotides. RefSeq lists it as uncharacterized. The record is from RefSeq and is a predicted model, not a curated record. Lineage: Eukaryota; Metazoa; Chordata; Aves; Passeriformes; Passerellidae. The transcript is spliced from 2 exons.